RNAcentral lists this long non-coding RNA (993 nucleotides) under Scophthalmus maximus (turbot). Its description in RNAcentral is "lncRNA (ENSSMAG00000035437.1)". The record is from RNAcentral. Lineage: Eukaryota; Metazoa; Chordata; Actinopteri; Pleuronectiformes; Scophthalmidae.
CGCUCACAAAAAAAAGGGGGAGGAUCUGGAGACCAGGCACAUCUACAAGAGGAGAUGGUGAGAGGAGGGGUGCCUCAGACCAGAUUGUAUAUUAGACCCUCACAAUCAGAGUACGCUCUCCUUCUGGGUCGAGAAACAGUUUUUCCUCCAGGUCCACAAUGUUGGGACAACUACUUUUUCAGAGCGCGGUGACCCUCUGGCUGGUGCAGACCGCAUAUACAGGUGGUUAUGGUGCUGCAUCUGGAGUAUCCAAUGGACAAGGGCCGCAGCCUAAUGGAAAUAAGCUCCAAAACGGUGGAGCAUUGGGAAGAAUGCUGAUUCCAUCAAAAGGUGUGGGUCAGGCAAUGGGUGCACAAAAUGGAUAUGGAGGACACCCUACCAAAGGAAUAGGUUAUGGAGCAGCAGCAGGAGUUUCAAGUGCAAACGGAGGAAAGUCUAAUGGUUACGGAGCAGCAGCUGAUGUGAACAAUGGAAGAGGGGUUAAAGGCUAUGGAGGAGCAGCUGGUGUGACCAAUGGACAAGGUGGAAAACCACAGGGAUAUGGUGUCCAGGCCGGCCCCGCCAAUGGACAACAAAUGAAAGGCAACGGUAUGAUACUGAGGACAAAUUCUCUAUAUUAAAUACAUUCAUUUAUUUAUUUUUUGUUUUUAGUGCAUUUGUAAAAAAAAAAGAAAAAGGGGAUGUUCUGGUGAUUUUUUUUUUAAUGAAAGUUGUUUUCAAAAAUCCAAAAAAAAUCUCUCUCUCUCUCUUUCUCUCACACACUCUCUCUCUUUCUCACACACACACUGAGCAACAACAGUGGUCAAUUUACACUGUUUUGACGUUUCAGGCUACGGUGCUCAAGCUGGUGGAUAUGGUGUCCAGGCCGGCCCAGCCAAUGGUCAAAAAAUGAAAGGCAACGGUAUGAUACUCAGGAAAAAUGUGUUUUGUCUCUCUCUCUCUUUAUCUCUCACUUACUCAAUCACACUGAGCAACAUCACUGGUCAAUUUAAA